AGUGAACGCUGGCGGUAGGCCUAACACAUGCAAGUCGAACGGCAGCACAGUAAGAGCUUGCUCUUACGGGUGGCGAGUGGCGGACGGGUGAGGAAUACAUCGGAAUCUACUUUUUCGUGGGGGAUAACGUAGGGAAACUUACGCUAAUACCGCAUACGACCUACGGGUGAAAGCAGGGGAUCUUCGGACCUUGCGCGAUUGAAUGAGCCGAUGUCGGAUUAGCUAGUUGGCGGGGUAAAGGCCCACCAAGGCGACGAUCCGUAGCUGGUCUGAGAGGAUGGUCAGCCGCACUGGAAGGUAGACACGGUCCAGACUCCUGCGGGAGGCAGCAGUGGGGAAUAUUGGACAAUGGGCGCGAGCCUUAUCCAGCCAUACCGCGUGGGUGAAGACGGCCUUCGGGUUGUAAAGCCCUUUUGUUGGGAAAGAACAGCAGCAGGUUAAUACCCCGCUGUUCUGACGGUACCCAAAGAAUAAGCACCGGCUAACUUCGUG
This 492-nucleotide ribosomal RNA is filed under the name uncultured bacterium. RNAcentral's name for it is "partial 16S ribosomal RNA". It matches the Rfam family "Bacterial small subunit ribosomal RNA", at positions 29 to 507 of the family's 1533-position model. The record is from RNAcentral.